GACGAACGCUGGCGGCGUGCCUAAUACAUGCAAGUCGAGCGAAGUUUUUCUGGUGCUUGCACUAGAAAAACUUAGCGGCGAACGGGUGAGUAACACGUAAAGAACCUGCCUCAUAGACUGGGACAACUAUUGGAAACGAUAGCUAAUACCGGAUAACAGUAUUUCUCGCAUGGGAGAUAUUUAAAAGUUGGUUAUGCUAACACUAUGAGAUGGCUUGCGGUGCAUUAGCUAGUUGGUGGGGUAAAGGCCCACCAAGGCGACGAUGCAUAGCCGACCUGAGAGGGUGAUCGGCCACACUGGGACUGAGACACGGCCCAGACUCCUACGGGAGGCAGCAGUAGGGAAUCUUCCGCAAUGGGCGAAAGCCUGACGGAGCAACGCCGCGUGAGUGAAGAAGGAUUUCGGUUCGUAAAGCUCUGUUGUUAGGGAAGAAUGGAUAUGUAGUAACUAUACA
RNAcentral lists this ribosomal RNA (454 nucleotides) under Gemella morbillorum. Its description in RNAcentral is "bacterial SSU rRNA". It matches the Rfam family "Bacterial small subunit ribosomal RNA", at positions 28 to 470 of the family's 1533-position model. Lineage: Bacteria; Bacillati; Bacillota; Bacilli; Caryophanales; Gemellaceae. The record is from RNAcentral.